This 465-nucleotide ribosomal RNA is filed under the name uncultured bacterium. RNAcentral's name for it is "bacterial SSU rRNA". It matches the Rfam family "Bacterial small subunit ribosomal RNA", at positions 14 to 477 of the family's 1533-position model. The record is from RNAcentral.
UUAUCCUGGCUCAGAUUAACGCUGCGGCAUUCCUUCCACAUGCAAGUCGAACGGCAGCGCGGGGGCAACCCUGCGGCGACCGGCGUACGGGUGAGUAAUGCAUCGGAACGUGUCCUCUUGUGGGGGAUAACCAGUCGAAAGACUGGCUAAUACCGCAUGAGAUCGCAAGAUGAAAGCAGGGGACCCGCAAGGGCCUUGCGCGAGAGGAGCGGCCGAUGCCCGAUUAGCUAGUUGGCGGGGUAACGGCCCACCAAGGCGACGAUCGGUAGCUGGUCUGAGAGGACGACCAACCACACUGGGACUGAGACACGGCCCAGACUCCUACGGGAGGCAGCAGUGGGGAAUUUUGGACAAUGGGGGCAACCCUGAUCCAGCCAUGCCGCGUGUGUGAAGAAGGCCUUCGGGUUGUAAAGCACUUUCGGACGGAACGAAAUCGCGCGAAUCUAAUAAGUCGCGUGGAUGACG